This 246-nucleotide ribosomal RNA is filed under the name uncultured bacterium. RNAcentral's name for it is "partial 16S ribosomal RNA". It matches the Rfam family "Bacterial small subunit ribosomal RNA", at positions 523 to 769 of the family's 1533-position model. The record is from RNAcentral.
AUACGUAGGGGGCAAGCGUUAUCCGGAAUCACUGGGCGUAAAGGGUGCGUAGGUGGCUUAUCAAGCCAGGGGUGAAAGGCAUUGGCUCAACCAAUGCAAGCCUUUGGAACUGAUAGGCUUGAGUGCAGGAGAGGUAAGUGGAAUUCCUAGUGUAGAGGUGAAAUUCGUAGAUAUUAGGAGGAACACCAGUGGUGAAGGCAACUUACUGGACUGUAACUGACACUGAGGCACGAAAGCGUGGGUAGC